This 465-nucleotide ribosomal RNA is filed under the name uncultured bacterium. RNAcentral's name for it is "partial 16S ribosomal RNA". It matches the Rfam family "Bacterial small subunit ribosomal RNA", at positions 338 to 795 of the family's 1533-position model. The record is from RNAcentral.
CCUACGGGUGGCAGCAGUGGGGAAUAUUGCGCAAUGGGCGAAAGCCUGACGCAGCGACGCCGCGUGAGGGAUGAAGGUCUUCGGAUCGUAAACCUCUGUCAGCAGGGAAGAACGGUCACUGUGCUAAUCAGCAGUGAAUUGACGGUACCUGCAAAGGAAGCACCGGCUAACUCCGUGCCAGCAGCCGCGGUAAUACGGAGGGUGCGAGCGUUAAUCGGAAUUACUGGGCGUAAAGCGCUCGUAGGCGGUAUGUCAAGUCAAGGGUGAAAUCCCCGCGCUCAACGUGGGAACUGCCGUUGAAACUGGCAAACUGGAGUGUGUGAGAGGAUAGUGGAAUUCCAGGUGUAGGAGUGAAAUGCGUAGAUAUCUGGAGGAACAUCAGUGGCGAAGGCGACUAUCUGGCACAUAACUGACGCUGAGGAGCGAAAGCGUGGGUAGCAAACAGGAUUAGAUACCCGGGUAGUC